UACAGAGGGUGCAAGCGUUGUUCGGAAUUAUUGGGCGUAAAGCGCGUGUAGGCGGCUUUGCAAGUCGGGUGUGAAAGCCCUCGGCUCAACCGAGGAAGUGCGCCCGAAACUGCAGAGCUUGAGUACCGGAGAGGAUGGCGGAAUUCCCCAAGUAGAGGUGAAAUUCGUAGAUAUGGGGAGGAACACCGGUGGCGAAGGCGGCCAUCUGGACGGAUACUGACGCUGAGGGACGAAAGCUAGGGGAGCGAACGGG
This 253-nucleotide ribosomal RNA is filed under the name uncultured bacterium. Its description in RNAcentral is "partial 16S ribosomal RNA". It matches the Rfam family "Bacterial small subunit ribosomal RNA", at positions 524 to 776 of the family's 1533-position model. The record is from RNAcentral.